AUACGGGGGGAGCAAGCGUUGUCCGGAAUCACUGGGCGUAAAGGACGCGUAGGCGGGUUUGUAAGUCAGGUGUGAAAUCCUACAGCUCAACUGUAGAACUGCGCUUGAAACUACAGACCUAGAGUAUGGAAGGGGCAGAUGGAAUUAGUGGUGUAGGGGUAAAAUCCGUAGAUAUCACUAGGAAUAUCGAAAGCGAAGGCGAUCUGCUGGGACAUUACUGACGCUGAGGCGUGAAAGCGUGGGGAGCAAACAGGAUUAGAAACCCGGGUAGUCC
This 274-nucleotide ribosomal RNA is filed under the name uncultured bacterium. RNAcentral's name for it is "partial 16S ribosomal RNA". It matches the Rfam family "Bacterial small subunit ribosomal RNA", at positions 523 to 796 of the family's 1533-position model. The record is from RNAcentral.